RNAcentral lists this ribosomal RNA (884 nucleotides) under uncultured Propionibacterium sp. Its description in RNAcentral is "bacterial SSU rRNA". It matches the Rfam family "Bacterial small subunit ribosomal RNA", at positions 15 to 908 of the family's 1533-position model. The record is from RNAcentral. Lineage: Bacteria; Bacillati; Actinomycetota; Actinomycetes; Propionibacteriales; Propionibacteriaceae.
GAUCCUGGCUCAGGACGAACGCUGGCGGCGUGCUUAACACAUGCAAGUCGAACGGAAAGGCCCUGCUUUUGUGGGGUGCUCGAGUGGCGAACGGGUGAGUAACACGUGAGUAACCUGCCCUUGACUUUGGGAUAACUUCAGGAAACUGGGGCUAAUACCGGAUAGGAGCUCCUGCUGCAUGGUGGGGGUUGGAAAGUUUCGGCGGUUGGGGAUGGACUCGCGGCUUAUCAGCUUGUUGGUGGGGUAGUGGCUUACCAAGGCUUUGACGGGUAGCCGGCCUGAGAGGGUGACCGGCCACAUUGGGACUGAGAUACGGCCCAGACUCCUACGGGAGGCAGCAGUGGGGAAUAUUGCACAAUGGGCGGAAGCCUGAUGCAGCAACGCCGCGUGCGGGAUGACGGCCUUCGGGUUGUAAACCGCUUUCGCCUGUGACGAAGCGUGAGUGACGGUAAUGGGUAAAGAAGCACCGGCUAACUACGUGCCAGCAGCCGCGGUGAUACGUAGGGUGCGAGCGUUGUCCGGAUUUAUUGGGCGUAAAGGGCUCGUAGGUGGUUGAUCGCGUCGGAAGUGUAAUCUUGGGGCUUAACCCUGAGCGUGCUUUCGAUACGGGUUGACUUGAGGAAGGUAGGGGAGAAUGGAAUUCCUGGUGGAGCGGUGGAAUGCGCAGAUAUCAGGAGGAACACCAGUGGCGAAGGCGGUUCUCUGGGCCUUUCCUGACGCUGAGGAGCGAAAGCGUGGGGAGCGAACAGGCUUAGAUACCCUGGUAGUCCACGCUGUAAACGGUGGGUACUAGGUGUGGGGUCCAUUCCACGGGUUCCGUGCCGUAGCUAACGCUUUAAGUACCCCGCCUGGGGAGUACGGCCGCAAGGCUAAAACUCAAAGGA